Homo sapiens (human) is the source of this 2189-nucleotide long non-coding RNA. RefSeq lists it as uncharacterized. NCBI's taxonomy places the organism in Eukaryota, Metazoa, Chordata, Mammalia, Primates, Hominidae. The transcript is spliced from 3 exons. The record is from RefSeq and is a predicted model, not a curated record.
CCACAUUUUCUUAAUCCAGUCUAUCAUUGAUGAACAUUUGAGUUGGUUCCAAGUCUUUGCUAUUGUCUUCACAGAUACUUUCAUGGGGCAUGCUCUCUCUCAUUUUCUAUAGGUCUGUGCUCCGACACCUCAUCAUGAGAGAGGACUUCCCUAGCCAACUUCUCUGACCUCCCUAGGGCUCAGGUUCAAGGACAAUUGCCUGAAAGAGACCUCUUCUGAUCUCACCUUGUUCACAACGGUCCCAAAAUCUGUCAAAAGCAAGAAUGGUGUUUUGGAGAAGGAAGGAGGUAGGACUAUGUCCAUGUUUAAGGCAAUGUGAAACAAGAUGAGAAAGGGCGGCUGCAGCACAUGCAAGAUUUGGGGAGAAGAAAUCAAAAGUUGAACUUGGAGCACACAGUGGAUGGCAAUCACCAGGAACAUUUAAGUCUGACCCCCAGGAACCCUCAGGAGUAAAGGAGUGAUGAUGAGGGGAUGGAUUACCCAAGUUACUUGAAAUGAGAACUCCAUCAUUUACUCUGGAUCUUUAAGAGUUAAGUAUGACAUGCCGAUAGGAUUGGAGAAUCUGGGGACAUUCCAGUUCUACUAAAUUGAUGACAAUGAUCAACAUAUUUCACAAUUCUAUUUCUCUUUUCAGGUAGAAUUAUUUUUCACUGCAAAGUAUUCAUUAUUGGGAAAAGUAGGUUUUAAAAAAAAUUAACUUAUAUUUAAUUUAUUUAUUUUCUUAGCAUUCUGACAAAUAGAGGCAAAAAAAGCCAAGACAUUCUUAGGCUUAGGAGAGAGAGACGUAGAAAGCCCCAAAUAAAAUAUCGAAAUCUUUCUUCUACUUUUGCGAAGUGGUUUUUCUUUUAGGAAGAAAUAGAUGGCUAUAGCUGUGUAAAUCUCUUCUCAGAAGAAGUGAUAUGGUAAAGGAAGGAGAUCAUCAGAAUCUCUUUAAUCAUCUGUCAAAUGUUAUUCGUUGCAUUCUAUUAACAAUGUUUUCCUCUUUGGAACAGCUGUCUCCUGUGCUAUAAGCAGUAAUGAAGAAUUGUUAACUGCAUAUUGAGAAAGUGAGUAAAACAUUUCCAUCAUCAAAUACUUUGGUUAAAUAAUUUUUGACUAAAAAUACUUUUCAAAAAAAGCUAACUGAUUGUUGAGUCUUUACUCCCUUUCUUUUGAUUUUUUUUAUGAUGAAUGCUUAUUUACAGAUGGUACUUAUGAGCCACAUAUAUGAAAAGAUGUAAUAUAAUGCAGAUAAGGUUGUCCAGAAAUAGCCCUUGAAUAAACUGAGAUGCAGAGACCAAAUUCACAUAGUUAAAAGUGCCUCAGUAUUCUUGCACCAUGUAUUAACAUACAACACAUUUCAUUGGGUUUAUUUUGGUCUUCAAAUUUCUUGAUGCCAAUAAUCAUCAAUUAAUUCAUUCAUGAUACAGCCAGCAGAAUACUGUAGCCAUAAGGGCACUUAAUCAGUUCUCAGUUACUUGUGGACUAUUCAUGCUCCCUUCUAAACUUCAGGCUGGCUUUGUCUUAUUGGUAAUAUAUACUUAUAGAAAGCUAACUUCUGGGUGCUCAGAUACUUAAUUUCUGAAAAUAUGUUAGAAUAAGCCAAAUAUAAAUAAGAGAUUAGACCUACUAUUGAGAUGAAAUAUAUUCUAAGAUAAAAAAUACAUGACUUCUCAAUGAAUUGUUAUUUCCGUCUACAAUACUUUUUCUGUAUGAUUGAUGAAUAUAAUCAAGAAUAGGCUGCCUACAAUGUUGAUAACUAAGUUUACUUUGCAAUUCUAAAUGCAGUUUAUAGUGCUUUACUAGCUCAGAGAGAGGUUAGUAGGAUGAGUCCAGUUUCCAUAAGCCCUUCUAAAUGGGAAAUGAGACCUCUCCCACAUAAAUGAGUAUUUUUAACUAAAUAGAGAUAAAAAUAGUAUAUCUAAAUGUUCCCUUGCAGGAGAGGUUGUGUACAGGAGCUCUCUAUUGCCAAACUUUCACAUAAGGUCAAACCCAGGAUUACAAGCUAUAACCAUGCUUGCCAUCUUUAAAGCAAUUCUUCAUAUUUAAGAACAAGUCAAUUUUGUGACAUACGGUGUUAAAGUAUGGGGUCUGGUGUAACCUUAGGAAGACAGAGUCUGCUGUGUAUCUAAAAUCAACCUGUAAGUACUGGUAGAAAAUCCAUAAAGAUUGCUGAAUGAAAGAAGUAAUAAAUACUGUCCUCAACAAUG